Molecule: ribosomal RNA, 2415 nt
Filed under: Triticum aestivum (bread wheat)
Lineage: Eukaryota; Viridiplantae; Streptophyta; Magnoliopsida; Poales; Poaceae
Description: partial small subunit ribosomal RNA
Source: RNAcentral
UUUUUUUGAUCCAACAGUAGCUAGAUAAGCGCCUAGGGAAGUAGGGGUUAAGACGAGACGGAUCCCAAUGCUCUCUCUGAGGAGGCGGUGACACCCUAGGGAGGCGUCGGCUAACAACACCGGUACCGCGGGGAGGGUAGAGGAGCUGCACGAUGUGAUGGCCUUGCGAUACUCGACGAGGCCCUGGAACAGAAGCGAGGGUUCCGCUCGUGAACGCGGUGAAGGCGGCCGAAACGAGGGGCAACCUUCCAGUGCGGCCACUACCACCACCAAGUGGCCGGUCUAAAGCAGCCUCUCCUCCUCCAACUGGCCGGUCUAGGACUAGGAGGAACGUGGUGGCAGCACGGCAACGGGGUUACGAGGAGAGCUACGCGGAGGUGGCGUAGGGUCAUUAAAGAUUUAGGUUAGAAGCAGAGCGACAGAGUAGAGUGUCGUACGGCGGAGGGGAAAAGUUCUACCCCUCGGGCUCGCUGGAGCUCGUUGACAGCGGCAGCGGCAGUGCAUACCGAGCCGCUCGAGCAUGUCGCACACGGGGCGGGAGGGAGGAGGCACACGGGGACAGAUGAGGAUACGGGGAUAAUCGGUGCUUCCACUACGAACAAAUGUUCGUUGUAUGAGAGCAGAUACCUAAGAGUUAGAGUCCCUUACGAGUGGAAUCUGAGAAAUGCCACCCAUCGAACUACAACAACUCCAUGGUUUCAGACUUACGAGAGCUUAUAACAACUAGCUCAGUUACCUACAAAGGACCAACGAGAAUACCACUCAUAGUCCACCAAGAGAAGCUGCCACUACAGCGGUUGUGUCGUCUACGUCGAACGCCUAGGGUGCCGUACUGAGUCUACGACUGCUACUUGGCCUGAUGGACAACAUUAAACUUGUGGAUUUUUUCCAAGAACCUGGGCGACGUUGCGCACAAGAUGUUGUUGUUAUGGCCCGCGCUCCGUGACCACUUCUUCACGCGUCUACUCGUGUACGUCGUCACGUUCCACGAGGCGCCACCGGGGGCACAGCAGCUCAUGUAGGUAUAUGUUGAAGAGGAAGAUGUCUCAAGAGGAAACGAAAGAACGUGUACACGAGACGGCCUGAUUGCGUGUAUGUGAUUCAUCGAGAAAAGAAGUAAACCCCAAAGGAAGCGUCCCACUAAGGGUCCCGAGAGUUGGACAGCUCCAUGCGUUAGAACUACGAAAUCUAAAGAUAGAUACAUUAGAUGUAGAAUCGUAACACAUGCACAUCAUAGAUUCUCAUUCUUUAUAUAACAGGCCAAGUCAGUACACCACACAUAACCACAAACCUUAAGUCAGUACAUGAGUAAGUAUGACUUUGAUUUCAGACUUUCCGACCACCUCCUGCAACACCUCUCACAGCGACUUCCACCCAGACAGGCCGACAGUGAUGACGACCUCGAUGUCGCGGCCAUGUGCUUCUAGUUGCCCUUCCACCGGUAGCGGCUCUGGGCUAACUCGGAGUACGUCCUCCUGUACAUGUAUGAUUGUAUUUGUUCUACUAUCUCUUCAAGAGACGAGAAGUCGAGUUUCACUUCCUCCACUUACGUAACAAGUGGUACUUCGUCUUAGUCAGGAGGUUUUCCGGACGAUCCUGUCGUUCCCGUUCACGUGCUACCACGGGACUUCGUAGUGCCACUUGUACCAUCACAGUCCAACAACUACCUCGCUAAGUUUAACUCUAAGGCGGGUAAACUAUGGAAUCCAAACUUCCAGCUCAUGGUGCGGCGGCGGUAACGUUGGCGAGAUCCUAUGGUAAUUACCCUAUAGUGAAUUUGCGGGAGCAACGACCUAGUUUCGCAACGUCCGUCAGAAGCUCACCGCCCUACUCCUGUGCAGAUCUUACCACUACCGCGGUACCUCACGUUGUUCAUAAGGGUUCCGUUGUAAAUAUACGUCGUAUCGGUCCUACAGACCCCAUCGUAACCUUUGUCGGUGUAUUUCCCGGAUUUGUUAGUUCAUCCAUACGAAAAUUUCACCGUCACCUGAUUUCUACUCGUGUCCCAACAUAUGUGGUACGAAUCUUUCCUACAGAGCCUCUCACAACUUACUACCUCACUGUUUCUCCACAGCCGAAAUCGAGCACAAGGAUAAAUCUGAUACGUUGGGUAGAUCCUUUCUUCCGUUCUUCCACCACAGCAAGUUCUGUAGUUCUCGUUCUUUGGUUUCUAAAUACCUGCCUUCUCCUAGUGUAAAUUAAGAUUACUAUCUUGGCUUCUAGAGAAUGUGUUAUCUAAAACACGGUCUGUUUGAUGGCAGCUUUUGGUUUCAUACUAGAACUAUCGAACUUUGUUCAUCUGAUGAUAGUGUACUGGAACUAAACACAAUAUUGUUGCACAUAAACAUUCACAUUUUGUAUAGGUAUAAUAAAUAGAGGGCAUCAUUCACAACACGUAUAGUAGAAAUUUAACGG